RNAcentral lists this ribosomal RNA (254 nucleotides) under uncultured bacterium. RNAcentral's name for it is "partial 16S ribosomal RNA". It matches the Rfam family "Bacterial small subunit ribosomal RNA", at positions 524 to 776 of the family's 1533-position model. The record is from RNAcentral.
UACGAGGGGGGCAAAUGUCGUUCGGAUUCACUGGGCGUAAAGGGUGCGCAGGUGGUUUGGCAAGUUUGACGUGAAAGCCCCGGGCUUAACCCGGGAAUGGCAUUGAAAACUGCUUGAACUGGAGGAUUGGAGGGGGGACUGGAAUUCUUGGUGUAGCAGUGAAAUGCGUAGAUAUCAAGAGGAACACCAGUGGCGAAGGCGAGUCCCUGGACAAUACCUGACACUGAGGCACGAAAGCCAAGGGAGCAAACAGG